This 497-nucleotide ribosomal RNA is filed under the name uncultured bacterium. RNAcentral's name for it is "partial 16S ribosomal RNA". It matches the Rfam family "Bacterial small subunit ribosomal RNA", at positions 28 to 507 of the family's 1533-position model. The record is from RNAcentral.
GAUGAACGCUGGCGGCGUGCCUAAUACAUGCAAGUCGAGCGAACAGACGAGGAGCUUGCUCCUCUGACGUUAGCGGCGGACGGGUGAGUAACACGUGGAUAACCUACCUAUAAGACUGGGAUAACUUCGGGAAACCGGAGCUAAUACCGGAUAAUAUAUUGAACCGCAUGGUUCAAUAGUGAAAGACGGUUUUGCUGUCACUUAUAGAUGGAUCCGCGCCGCAUUAGCUAGUUGGUAAGGUAACGGCUUACCAAGGCAACGAUGCGUAGCCGACCUGAGAGGGUGAUCGGCCACACUGGAACUGAGACACGGUCCAGACUCCUACGGGAGGCAGCAGUAGGGAAUCUUCCGCAAUGGGCGAAAGCCUGACGGAGCCACGCCGCGUGAGUGAUGAAGGUCUUCGGAUCGUAAAACUCUGUUAUUAGGGAAGAACAAAUGUGUGAGUAACUAUGCACGUCUUGACGGUACCUAAUCAGAAAGCCACGGCUAACUACGUG